RNAcentral lists this ribosomal RNA (497 nucleotides) under uncultured bacterium. RNAcentral describes it as "partial 16S ribosomal RNA". It matches the Rfam family "Bacterial small subunit ribosomal RNA", at positions 28 to 507 of the family's 1533-position model. The record is from RNAcentral.
GAUGAACGCUGGCGGCGUGCCUAAUACAUGCAAGUCGAGCGAACGGACGAGAAGCUUGCUUCUCUGAUGUUAGCGGCGGACGGGUGAGUAACACGUGGAUAACCUACCUAUAAGACUGGGAUAACUUCGGGAAACCGGAGCUAAUACCGGAUAAUAUUUUGAACCGCAUUGUUCAAAAGUGAAAGACGGUCUUGCUGUCACUUAUAGAUGGAUCCGCGCUGCAUUAGCUAGUUGGUAAGGUAACGGCUUACCAAGGCAACGAUGCAUAGCCGACCUGAGAGGGUGAUCGGCCACACUGGAACUGAGACACGGUCCAGACUCCUACGGGAGGCAGCAGUAGGGAAUCUUCCGCAAUGGGCGAAAGCCUGACGGAGCAACGCCGCGUGAGUGAUGAAGGUCUUCGGAUCGUAAAACUCUGUUAUUAGGGAAGAACAUAUGUGUAAGUAACUGUGCACAUCUUGACGGUGCCUAAUCAGAAAGCCACGGCUAACUACGUG